UACGAAGGGUGCAAACGUUGCUCGGAAUCAUUGGGCGUAAAGCGCACGUAGGCGGCUUCGCAAGUCGGAUGUGAAAUCCCUCGGCUCAACCGAGGACGUGCAUCCGAAACUGCGGGGCUUGAGUACUGAAGAGGAUCGCGGAAUUCCCGGUGUAGAGGUGAAAUUCGUAGAUAUCGGGAGGAACACCAGUGGCGAAGGCGGCGAUCUGGGCAGAUACUGACGCUGAGGUGCGAAAGCGUGGGGAGCAAACAGG
Molecule: unclassified non-coding RNA, 253 nt
Filed under: Sorangiineae bacterium
Lineage: Bacteria; Pseudomonadati; Myxococcota; Myxococcia; Myxococcales
Also listed under: 1 other name
Description: partial 16S ribosomal RNA
Rfam family: Bacterial small subunit ribosomal RNA
Source: RNAcentral